CCCUCCAAAUCAAAUCUUUACCAUGCUGGAGGAAAACCAAAGGGGUGUUUCACAGGCUCCUAUCUCAGCAUCCUAGUUAUACUGACACUGGUUGCUCAACUUUUUACACAGGCUCAUGUAAAAGCAUAAUGUCAAGGCACUGCUGAAGAAAUACCUGGGCCUGUGCCAAGUGCCGUGUGGACCUUGUUAGAGUAAGAGGAAACAGGGAAAACAGAGCUUGGCCUGAAUGUAAAGCCAGGAAGACCCAAGGGAUGCAGCUGCAGUGAGAGAGGAGUCAGAAGAGAGGCCAUCACGGGGCAGCCCAGAGGAAGGGAAGCUAAAGUUCCUCUGGAGCUACGGCACCUGGGUGACAAGAGGGAGAAGCUGUGGAUAAAAGCUCUUUCAAAUGCCCACUGGAGUAUAGGGUCUGGCACAGAAACCUGUUGAAGUGUCAUUUCAAGAGACAAGAGGAGAGUGUUUUUGCCUGUAGUCCUUUGGAGAAGAACUGGGUUAUAGCUUCAUUGGUAUCUGCGAUUGGACCACUGCUAGAGUGGU
This is a long non-coding RNA of Pogoniulus pusillus (Red-fronted tinkerbird), 534 nucleotides long. RefSeq lists it as uncharacterized. The record is from RefSeq and is a predicted model, not a curated record. NCBI's taxonomy places the organism in Eukaryota, Metazoa, Chordata, Aves, Piciformes, Lybiidae. The transcript has 2 exons.